CCUACGGGUGGCAGCAGUCGAGAAUCAUUCACAAUGGGGGAAACCCUGAUCGUGCGACGCCGCGUGGGGGAAUGAAGGUCUUCGGAUUGUAAACCCCUGUCAUGUGGGGGCAAAUUCAAAAGAUAGUACCACAAGAGGAAGAGACGGCUAACUCUGUGCCAGCAGCCGCGGUAAUACAGAGGGCUCAAGAGUUGUUCGGAAUCACUGGGCGUAAAGCGUGCGUAGGCUGUUUCGUAAGUCGUGUGUGAAAGGCGCGGGCUCAACCCGCCGAGGGCAGAUGACACUGGGAGACUAGAGUAAUGGAGGGGUAAGCGGAAUGCGCGGUGUAGCAGUGAAAUGCGUAGAUAUCGAGAGGAACACUCGUGGCGAAGGCGGGGUCCUGGACAUGAACUGACGCUGAGGCACGAAGGCCAGGGUAGCGAAAGGGAUUAGAUACCCGAGUAGUC
RNAcentral lists this ribosomal RNA (446 nucleotides) under uncultured bacterium. RNAcentral describes it as "partial 16S ribosomal RNA". It matches the Rfam family "Bacterial small subunit ribosomal RNA", at positions 338 to 795 of the family's 1533-position model. The record is from RNAcentral.